GGUGUUGUGGCUCAGUGGUAGAGUGCUUGCCUAGCAUGUGAGGCACUGGGUUCAAUCCUCAGCACCACAU
RNAcentral lists this transfer RNA (70 nucleotides) under Marmota monax (woodchuck). RNAcentral describes it as "tRNA.Ala". It matches the Rfam family "tRNA". From Rfam's summary of the family: Transfer RNA (tRNA) molecules are approximately 80 nucleotides in length. Their secondary structure includes four short double-helical elements and three loops (D, anti-codon, and T loops). Lineage: Eukaryota; Metazoa; Chordata; Mammalia; Rodentia; Sciuridae. The record is from RNAcentral.